CUGGAUUCUCGCGAUAUUUUGGGAUUGCCCCUCCCCCCUUCUCCAAGUGCCGUUUCGGUUUAAUCUAGUGUGUGACUGUGAGUCUGUGUGAGGGAGCGAAUGUGUGUGAGGUGUUGAGGUGAGGCGGAGGCAGGAAAAGGGGCUCCGUUAGGAGCCAGGGACAAAGGGGGCGUGAGGCACCCAGGCCACGGGACCCGGGCGACAGGAAGCCCGCCCCGAGCCGGUCUACCGGGUAGGGGAAGGGCCCGCGCAGUCCUCACAGGGCCGGAGUCGGCCCCACAGCCCCGGGCCGUCGGCUUCCUGCUUCCUCGACCUCUCCGGUCCCCGGGCUUGAGGAUUGGCUCGACGAAGGGAGAAGGGGAAACAGACUUGAGCAGCUACCCGUUGUCUCGCAACUCCUCUGCUGAGGAACUCUCAUUUCUUCCCUCGCUCCUUCAACCCCCCCCCCCCGCCUCAUGUAGGAGGGUGCUGAGGAGUCGGGAGGGAGGAGGAGCCUGGGCUGCCGUCCCUUCCCUCCCCACCCCCCUUCUAGGGGCGCUUUGGUGGGCGUGGAGUUGGGGUUGGGGGGGAGGGUGGGGGUUACUUUUUGGAGUGCUGGGGAACUUUUUCCCCUUCUUCAGGCCAGGGGAAAGGGAAUGCCCAAUUCAGAGAGACAUGGGGGUAAGAAGGACGGGAGUGGGGGAGCUUCUGGAACUUUGCAGCCGUCAUCGGGAGGUGGCAGCGCCAACAGCAGAGAGCGUCACCGCCUGGUAUCGAAGCACAAGCGGCAUAAGUCCAAGCACUCCAAAGACAUGGGGUUGGUGACCCCCGAAGCAGCAUCCUUGGGUACAGUUAUCAAACCUCUGGUGGAGUAUGAUGAUAUCAGCUCUGAUUCUGACACUUUCUCUGAUGACAUGGCCUUUAAACUAGACAGAAGGGAGAAUGAUGAACGUCGUGGGACUGAUCGGAGUGAUCGCCUGCACAAACAUCGUCACCACCAGCACAGGCGUUCCCGGGACUUACUAAAAACCAAGCAGACCGAAAAAGAAAAAAACCAGGAAGUCUCCAGCAAGUCGGGAUCGAUAAAGGACCGGACAUCAGGAAGUUCAAAGCGUUCAAAUGAGGAGAUUGAUGACUAUGGAAAGGCACAGAUAUCCAAAAACAGCAACAAGGAAUCCAGGUCAUCCAAACUCCGUAAGGAGAAGACUCGGAAAGAACGUGAAUUGAAGUCUGGGCACAAAGACCGGAGUAAAAGUCAUCGGAAAAGGGAAACACCUAAAAGUUACAAAACAGUGGACAGCCCGAAACGGAGGUCCAGGAGUCCCCACAGGAAGUGGUCUGACAGCUCCAAGCAAGAUGAUAGCCCCUCAGGAGCUUCUUAUGGCCAAGAUUAUGACCUUAGUCCUCCAAGAUCUCACACCUCUAGCAAUUAUGACUCCUACAAGAAAAGUCCUGGGAGUACCUCAAGAAGGCAGUCAGUUAGCCCACCUUACAAGGAGCCUUCGGCCUACCAGUCCAGUACUCGGUCACCCAGUCCCUACAGUAGAAGACAGAGGUCUGUGAGUCCUUAUGGCAGGAGACGGUCAUCCAGCUAUGAACGGAGUGGCUCUUACAGUGGGAGAUCACCCAGUCCCUAUGGUCGAAGGCGGUCCAGCAGCCCUUUCAUGAGCAAGCGGUCUCUGAGUCGGAGUCCACUCCCCAGUAGGAAAUCCAUGAAGUCCAGAAGUAGAAGUCCUGCAUAUUCAAGACACUCAUCUUCUCAUAGUAAAAAGAAGAGAUCCGGCUCACGCAGUCGUCAUUCCAGUAUCUCACCAGUUAGGCUUCCACUGAAUUCCAGCCUGGGAGCUGAACUCAGUAGGAAAAAAAAGGAAAGAGCAGCUGCUGCUGCUGCAGCAAAAAUGGAUGGAAAAGAAUCCAAAGGUUCACCUAUAUUUUUGCCUAAAAAAGAGAACAGUUCAGUAGAGGCUAAGGAUUCAAGUGUGGAGUCUAAAAAGUUACCCAGAUGUGUAAAAUUGGAAAAAUCUGCCCCAGAUACUGAACUGGUAAAUGUAACACAUCUAAACACAGAGGUCAAAAAUUCUUUAGAUAUAGGGAAAGUAAAGCUGGAUGAGAACUCUGAGAAGCAUCCUGCUCUUAAAGAUUUGAAAGCACAGGGAACAAGAGACUCUAAAUCCGUAGCAUUGAAAGAGAAGAUUGUUACUCCAAAGGAGACGGAGACAUCAGAAAAGGAGACCCCGCCAACUCUCCCCACAAUUACUACUCCUCCACCCCCUUUACCAACUACUACCCCUCCACCUCAGACACCCCCUCUGCCACCUUUGCCUCCACUUCCAGCUGUUUCGCAGCAGCCACCUCUGCCUCCUCCUCAACUAGCAUUUAGUCAGUUUUCUGCUUCCAGUACUUCAACUUUGCCCCCUUCUACUCAUGCAAGGACAUCUGCUCUGUCCUCUCAGGCAAAUUCUCAGCCCCCUGUACAGGUUUCUGUGAAGACUCAAGUAUCUGUAACAGCUGCAAUUCCACACCUGAAAACUUCAACAUUGCCUCCUCUGCCCCUGCCACCCUUAUUACCUGGAGAUGAUGACAUGGAUAGUCCAAAAGAAACUCUUCCUUCAAAACCGAUAAAGAAAGAGAAGGAACAGAGGACACGUCAUUUACUUACAGACCUUCCUCUCCCUCCAGAGCUCCCGGGUGGGGAUCCGUCUCCCCCAGACUCUCCAGAACCAAAGGCAAUCACGCCACCUCAGCAACCAUAUAAAAAGAGACCAAAAAUUUGUUGUCCUCGUUAUGGAGAAAGAAGACAAACCGAAAGCGACUGGGGGAAACGCUGUGUGGACAAGUUUGACAUUAUUGGGAUUAUUGGAGAGGGAACCUAUGGCCAAGUAUAUAAAGCCAAGGACAAAGACACAGGAGAACUAGUGGCUCUGAAGAAGGUGAGACUAGACAAUGAGAAAGAGGGCUUCCCAAUCACAGCCAUUCGUGAGAUCAAAAUCCUUCGUCAGUUAAUCCAUCGAAGUGUUGUUAACAUGAAGGAAAUUGUCACAGAUAAACAAGAUGCACUGGAUUUCAAGAAGGACAAAGGUGCCUUUUAUCUUGUGUUUGAGUAUAUGGACCAUGACUUAAUGGGACUGCUAGAAUCCGGUUUGGUGCACUUUUCUGAGGACCAUAUCAAGUCAUUCAUGAAACAACUAAUGGAAGGAUUGGAUUACUGUCACAAAAAGAAUUUCCUGCAUCGGGAUAUUAAGUGUUCUAACAUUUUGCUGAACAACAGUGGGCAAAUCAAACUAGCAGAUUUUGGACUUGCUCGGCUCUAUAACUCUGAAGAGAGUCGUCCUUACACAAACAAAGUCAUUACCCUGUGGUAUCGACCUCCAGAACUACUUCUGGGAGAAGAGCGUUACACACCAGCCAUAGAUGUUUGGAGCUGUGGAUGUAUCCUUGGGGAACUGUUCACAAAGAAGCCUAUUUUUCAAGCCAAUCUGGAACUGGCUCAGCUAGAACUGAUCAGCCGACUCUGUGGUAGCCCUUGUCCAGCUGUGUGGCCUGAUGUUAUCAAGCUGCCCUACUUCAACACCAUGAAACCGAAGAAGCAAUAUAGAAGGCGUCUACGAGAAGAAUUCUCUUUCAUUCCUUCAGCAGCACUUGAUUUAUUAGACCACAUGCUGACACUAGAUCCUAGCAAGCGUUGCACAGCUGAACAGACCCUACAGAGUGACUUCCUUAAAGAUGUUGAGCUCAGCAAAAUGGCUCCUCCAGACCUCCCCCACUGGCAAGAUUGCCAUGAAUUAUGGAGUAAGAAACGCCGCCGUCAGCGACAAAGUGGUGUUAUGGUAGAAGAGCCACCUCCAUCCAAAGCCUCUCGAAAAGAAACUACCUCAGCAACGAGUGCUGAGCCUGUGAAGAACAGCAGCCCAGCACCACCUCAGCCUGCUCCCAGCAAGGUGGAACCUGGAGCUGGGGAUGCAAUAGGCCUCGGUGACAUCACACAACAGCUGAAUCAAAGUGAAUUGGCAGUGUUAUUGAACCUGCUGCAGAGCCAAACCGACCUGAGCGUCCCUCAAAUGGCACAGCUGCUUAACAUCCACUCCAAUCCAGAAAUGCAGCAGCAGCUGGAAGCCCUGAACCAAUCCAUCAGUGCCCUAACGGAAGCUACUUCCCAGCAGCAGGACUCAGAGCCCAUAGCUCCAGAGGAGUCUUUGAAGGAAGCACCUUCUGCCCCAGUGGCCCUGCCUUCAGCAGAACAGACAACCCCUGAAGCUUCAAGCACACCAGCUGACGUGCAGAAUAUGUUGGCAGUUCUAUUGAGUCAGCUGAUGAAAACCCAAGAGCCAGCAGGCAGCCUGGAGGAAAACAACAGUGACAAGAACAGUGGGCCACAGGGGCCCCGAAGAACUCCCACAAUGCCACAGGAGGAGGCAGCAGGUGGUAGCAACAGCAGGGAUGGCCCCCAAGGAAUUUGGUAAAGUCCGUUGGUUACCUCACCUCCAGAGCCUAGCAAAGAGGGUCUCUUUCACAGAACCUAAAGCCAGGUUCAGUGGGAGAUUUCACCUGUCCCAACACUGUGCAGGACACCAGAAGUAGAGGCCUGCAAGCCUGUUUCCUCUAUCCCUAAUGCCCAGAUGGGGCAGGUCACCAGCCUCCGGUGCCAACCUCACCUUUCUUGCCUGCAGGUGAAACCAAGACCCAGAGAUGGGAAAUCAGUUGAAUCUUGUCCUGGAAUUGCUUUGUAUUCCUGAAUUUGGAGAAUUCCUGGGAACACAGGGAAAGGAAAGUUUUCCCAUUGACUGGGGAAAGAUCUGGAUGCCUGAACCUCCCACCUUGACACCUUGAAGGUUGUUAUGUAGGUCCCCUCUCUGCAGCUUCUAAAGCCAUGGAGAAGGAGAAGGAAGGCAGAGAAAGAGGUAGACACAUGAUGUGGCAGUGCUACAGUGUCCAUCAGCGCCCAAGAAGAAAGGCCAAGGAGAAGAAACUGACCAGAGAGGAAGCCAGGAGAAGAUGCCUGCUUCUGAAACAGCAUCCCUACCCCAUCCUCUCCAGCUCCCUGUCUCACAUGUCGACAAGGCUGUGCGCCCAAGUGUGCCAGCUCUUCUGGCUGUGAUCCUGCUCUGCUGUGCAGGCAGCCAGCUCUCUGCCCCAGCACAGAGCACCUCCUGGGGUCUCUCUCACACUCCUUUGCUCGCUCAUCUCAAUGUAUCUGUGUUGCCGAUUCCUAGAAAUGAAGAAGGCUGUGGCCCUGCAGGUAGGAAGAUGGUGGGCUCUGGGGCCCAUUGGGUGCCUGGCUGCCUGGCUGCAGGAGGGAAGGAGGGAGAAGGCUGCUGGCAACUCAGCCAAGCUCAAGGUUCAGGUGACUCACAGCAAUGUGGGUGGCUCAUGAAAACAACAGAGGGGAACAGGGUCCAGGCCUGUUAGAGCUCUCUUUUGCCCCAUUUCUUCCUACUCUGAGCUCUGUGGAUGAUGGUCUCUCAUCCAGAUUAUGGAGCUGAGAGAGGCUGGGCAUUCCUGGUGAGAGGUUUCCCAGGAAGGAAAGAAUAGGAGAGGCCAGUUAUUCUUGUCCUGCUAUAUCCGUUGGCUGUACAGAGGGUACUGGGCAUCCACAUGUGUUGGGGCACCUCAGUGCUCCUGAGCACUUUCCUGAGAAGGGGCUUUCCUGGAAGACACAGCUAUUCCUCUCUGCCCUCAUUUGCCUGCCCAGAACUCUGCGUACCUAGCUGACACCAAAUUUUUAGAAAUAAGGGGGAAAAAAGCACUAUUACAAGACUAAAACCUGGUCAGUAUUCUCCUCCCUAGAAACAGAUAACUGAGACAAGAGAAGAACAGCUAGGGACUCCUAGGUUGGCUGAUCCAGGGUGUUGGCACAGGCUAUGAGGUGGGUGCAGAACUGUGGAUUUUUAAAAGUGCUGAUUCCCUCCUCCUUUACAGGCCAGGUGGGCGAUAUGCAUCUUCUCCAUUCGUUCUGAAUUUGGGAUCAUAGGAUACUGUGUUUCAGAUCACACCAGGAGAAAGAGGCCAGAAGGUGGACCGGGAGAACCAUUCAUGACUGUGACCAUAGUUCCAGGGGCAUGUGACUAGAACUGGCAAAGGGAAACAGGGAUCUGCGAUGCCAGUGUAUCCAGACAUAAUAAUAAACACCCCUACCUUUAACCUCAGAGGAUGGGCUAAGAGGAGGGGAGUUCUGUGACAGAGCCUGAGUUCUUAUUUGCCUAUUUCUGUUCCUUUCAUUGCUGGUGGCUCUGCUUUCUCACCAGGAUAAGGGAUCCUCUGCCCAGUUGCCCCUGGGAAAUCCAGAGAUGACUUUGGUUGGAGAAAGUGACAGACCAGCCACUCUUCAUGCAGGGAGAUGAAAACAGCACCACUCCCCCAGCUCUCCCUGGCAGCAUCAGAAGCUCAGGGUCUCCUGUUGGAAACCCCAAGCUAAAGCUCAGUCCUGAACUAAACCAACACAUCACCUGGCCCUGGGUAUAAAAGUGGUACUGUGAGGGGGAGCUUGGGUACACCAGGUGGGAAGUAGGCAGGUGUGGGGAGUUCAACCCCAGGAGGUAUAAGAAUCACUCUAAGAUACCACAUGCUCCUUAAUCCUCCUUUAUCUCAAAUCCCUUUCUCUGCCUACCUUUUCUUUCACCUCCCUUUAGCCAACUACGCUCCUGGCUACCUCAUCCCCUCCAGUCUGAGAGGACAUGUCUUAGGCCUCAGUUGCCCUCCUGGCUCUUGUGUGGAGAGAAAAGAGGAAAGACCUUUGAACCUGGCCUUGAGAUCCUGGAAGAGCUCCUUUGGACCUAGCCUUGGGAUCCCGGCAUCCUCUUUACAAAAUUAUUCUCUUCCCUGGGCAUCUCUAAGCCUCCAACUGGGUUGCCUGGACCUGAGCAAAUAUAGUGAGAGCACUCAGCAGAGUUAUCUCAUACUUAUUUGUGUAGUCAUUCGAAUAAUGAUCCUAGUUUCAUUGGAUGGGAAGUUCCACGAGGGCAGUGACCAUAUCUAUCUGUGUUUGCCAACGUGCUCCCAGUGCCAACAACAGUGCCUAACAUACAGCAGCUGUUUGGUAAAUAUUUGUUGAAUGAAUGAGUAAAUGACAAAGGGACAUCUCUCUGGCCUAAACUCAGCGUUUUAGCCACUCCCUCAUUCUGAGCUGACCCACCCCAAUGUGUGGACCAGGGAACAGGGUACCUGGGAGGUCAAGCUGCCUCGUUCUCCCUGGAAAGAGCUAUCAGGACAGGACCAGCCCUAGUUCCAAGACACGGGGCCUCUGCCAUGCCAGAGUCUGGCCCUGCCUGUCUGCUCUCUAGCUUCUCCAGAGAUUAAGAGAAUUCAGAGUCCCAAAUUUUUUCCCACAUGGGGGCCUGAGAUCACUCAUGUGAGCUGGAAGGGAGGGAGGGGAGUUCCAUCAGAGAAGGGUGCUCUGAAGAAAAUCUCUCUUUUCUACCUUAGCUAAGACUGCAGAGACCAUCUGUUACCACCCCUCUGUCCUCUUCCCCUGGGCCUCAGGGAAGGAGAUGGUUAAACUAAGUAGGAGGGAUAGACACUUUCCCAAAAGCAGGGCAGGCUGCUUGCUCCUUGAAAUGUCUGGGGAGCUGGGUUAUGAGCCUCAGCCAGGUAACUGGAGCGGAGGAACACAGGAUCCAGGAACAGCAAAUCCUUUGGGGCUGUACUGUCUAGACCCUGGGAAGCAGGAGGUGGACAAAAUGACCUCUAGGAGGUAUCCAGUCUCCAGCCCAGGGCUCUGUCUGACUGUUUUGCUGCCCUUGCCAUCUGACCUCAAACAAUAUUCCCAAGUCUGUGAAGAGUUAAAGUUAGGCCAGGCCUGGUAGCUCCUUGCUCUCUGUGGCCACUCCCCAUUACUAACCUUGAACAAGCACACAGACAAUUAUAGACCUCCCAGCUCAGAGCACCUCUCUGACCCAGCUCAGUGCCAAUACCCAGUCCUCACAGCAGCCUCUCACUCAGUCCCCUUAUCCUUACAGUCCCCAAAGCACCCAGGCAUCUGGGGUCAUGGAUCUGGGAGCCAUUCUGAGUAGUGUUUCUCUCUUUGACCCCACCUGUUCUCUGAGCCCCUAAUGAAGCAGGACAACUCAGGCUGCAGGCCAAGUCCUUGUGUCCCUAUCAAAGGCAACAUCUGUCCCCUCUAAGAAGAUAACCCUGGGGGAAGGGGGUGAGACAGGCACAAGGGAGAAACCCCAGUCUUGCCUGGGCCCUCACCCCGGAUUCCACUGCAGGCAUCUUUUGGGAGUGAGGGCCAAGAGAGCCGCAGAGGCCUACACUCACACAUGCCCCUGUAUGGGCCUUCCUGCCUCUCAGCCCCCACAUAUGAGAGCCCCUCCUGGGCUUACCCAACUACCUGGGCUGCUGCUGCUGCCAAGCGGCCUUCUUUUAUUCAUGCGUUGUUUUAUUGCUGGCAAAUGCUGCUGCUUGCCGCUGUUGGAGGCGUUCCUGCCAAAUCCAUCCCAACAUCUUGGCCUGGCAUCAGGGCGGCAUGCUAAUGUGGAAAUUUAAAGAGCCGCUCGGCUUUAAAUCGGAAUUUUAAAUGAGCAGCAGUGCUCCGAUGGGACCCAGGCAAAAUCGAACAGUAUCUGAUACACCCUUCCUCCUCCCACACCCACAGCAUCACCCCAAGUUCCUCCCACCUCUUCCUUUGAUUUGAACACUAGAGGAGGUAGUGGCAUGGGACACAGUAGGGGAAUAGGGAGGGAAUGGGGAGCUACCAGGGCAGAGGAAUUGGUGCAAGGUGGGUCAUCUGGACCAGUAAGGAGCUGGGACCCCCUGCUCAGGACCAAGAAAGGAUCUACUUCUUGCUGUCAUGGGCAAAUGGCCAAAUGGAGGGUGCAGAGCUGGGAGUAGUGAAACUGAGGCUUACUCCCUCACUCCCAUUUUCCAGGAAUCAAGAAGAGAAGGCCUGUUCCGCAGAGAAGAGAGAAGGUAGAAUUCCAUGAAGACACUCACACAUUUGUGCACAGUGGGAUGUGUGUACACAGCUGUGCGUGCGGGCUGGGAUGCUUGCUGAGGGGCCUGUAGCACAUGUACAUGUAACUCACACACCACCCAUGCAUGGAGAGGAAUUAUCAACACAUGGAGGGCAGUGUUUCUUUCCCUAUCCAGGCCACUAUCCUAACCCAAGAGCAAGCUGGCCUCUGCCAGUUGCUAACCUACCUAAACUGCCCCAGGUUUUUCUAUAGAUCCUAAUUCCCCAGCUCCUGGCAGCUACCUGGAGUCAGUUAUGGAGACGGAGCCCCCCAGCUCCUCUGCCAGGAUGUGGGCAGGGGCACUUGAGGUCAUCCUGUGCACCUGUCUUGGCCACAGUGUGGUGCCUUCUCUGUUGACCACCAGAUGACAGGCUCAGACAUCUCAUCUGGGAGAGGUGAAGCCUGGAAUCCCCCAGUUUGCAGCCCCCUGCCAACUACUGCUGCCCAGAAGGGUGGCACAGUGCCUGGACUUCAGGCAGGAGCUAUCAAAUCAGAACCAGAGGGACGUCUGGAGGUCACCUCAUCUAGCCCUCUGCCCACAUCCAGGCCUGUGCAUGAGGACAGGGGCAGACAGGGUCAGGGUGGUGGGCAGCAGAAGGGUGAAGCAGCCAUCUCUCUUCCUUCAGCUGCCCUUUCUCCUUUCUCACUUUUUACACAAUUUAUUUUGGGAAGCCCUCACUCUGGUCUAACCUUGCAGACAUCAUGCAUAAUGAAAGUUGGCCAGAGUCAGAAGGCCUACUACCCAGUCCUAGAGUCUCCAAAAAAUAAAACGAGAUUUUUGGCUAAUCUGUUCACCUCUCUGAGCUUCUAAUUCUUGAUCUUUAAAAUGUGAUCGAUAAUGGUGAUGAUAAUAAUAAUAAUAGCCAUCUCACAGGGAUGUUGGGGGGAUAAACACAGCUCAGGAAAGAAGUGUCCAACCCACAGCCUGGAGCAAGGCAGGUGCUGCAGGGAUAUUUCACAGCGGCCCAAAGCCCUCCAGCCGAAGUCCCCUCAUCCUGGAUAACAGGGCUCUGCUCACCUCAGCCAUUCUGGUCUGCCUUGCGCGCUAGACUGUGAACUCCUCUUGGCAGGAUCUUGUUCAUUUUUAAUCACCGCUCCUUCCCCUCCCCAGUGUCUAGCCCAUGCUCAGGCACGUAGGCUCAAUAUACAUUUAAUAAACGAGUGAGAGUACGAGUCGGACCCCCAAGUCCCCAGAGGCACAGAGCCUGACUCCCACCAGCAACCCUUCUCUGCACAACCCUUUCCCCUGGGGUCCAGGCGCCGACUGCAGCGGCGGGGAAAGAGGCGCUGCAGCUUUAAGAUUUCUCUCGGGCGUCCCCGUUGCCAAGGCGCGGUUGCCAGGGGCCUGCGCUGAGCUGCGUCCGGCCUUCGCGCGCCGGCUUCGGGUUUCCUCCUCCUCUUCCUCCGCCGCCGCCGCCGCGCCGCCCUGGGCUCGGCUACUUCGAACCGUCUGGCGGACUUGGCACUGGCCCCCGCUCCUCGGUGCCCCCGCAGUGCGUGGCAGGCUGCGGCUUCAUUAUCCUGAUUGAUUCCUCCUGCUCCCCGACACCGUGGGGGCCCAGGCCAAGGAAGGGGGGCGGAGGCGGCAUCUGCGGGCCCCUGCCCGGCCCUCGCUCCCAUCGGCUCUUCAGGCUGCCGGCCCCUUGGUGCCCUGCUGCGGCCGGCAGGGCAGGCAGGGAGGGCCACCCCCACCCUCUGCCCCCCUUGGUGGGCCGGCAGGGACCCAAGGAGCAGAGCACUGUCCGGCUAGGCGCUUCUGCCCAAGUGCCCGCUCUGGGCCACGAACGGCCGCCUUCGUUUUGCCUUCUCCAGGAGGAUAUGGAGGGGUUCGGGUUGGGAAGGAGCACGGUGGAGGACUGAGAACUUCAGGAGAACAAGCCCUCGCAAAAUGGGAAAGGUGACAUCGAGGAGCAUUGGUCACGUGGGCCAAGGCCUGGUGACAUGGAUCUUAUCAUGUGACUCCCUGGGCAGCUUAAGUACAGUUCUCAGGAGACUCAGGGACAGGGUCUUCGCAAGCCCCACAGGACACCUGGCGUGGAUGUGAACUCAAAGCAAGGCCUCUGUGAGGGAGAGGACCUGUCCCAGAAUCUGGCAGGGUGUGCCCACCCACCCCCAAACUUCAGUGCUGAGACCUUAGUAAAAAGAGCAUUUGGGA
This is a non-coding RNA of Microcebus murinus (gray mouse lemur), 11082 nucleotides long. NCBI's taxonomy places the organism in Eukaryota, Metazoa, Chordata, Mammalia, Primates, Cheirogaleidae. The record is from RefSeq and is a predicted model, not a curated record.